RNAcentral lists this ribosomal RNA (497 nucleotides) under uncultured bacterium. Its description in RNAcentral is "partial 16S ribosomal RNA". It matches the Rfam family "Bacterial small subunit ribosomal RNA", at positions 28 to 507 of the family's 1533-position model. The record is from RNAcentral.
GAUGAACGCUGGCGGCGUGCCUAAUACAUGCAAGUCGAGCGAACGGACGAGAAGCUUGCUUCUCUGAUGUUAGCGGCGGACGGGUGAGUAACACGUGGAUAACCUACCUAUAAGACUGGGAUAACUUCGGGAAACCGGAGCUAAUACCGGAUAAUAUUUUGAACCGCAUGAUUCAAAAGUGAAAGACGGUCUUGCUGUCACUUAUAGAUGGAUCCGCGCUGCAUUAGCUAGUUGGUAAGGUAACGGCUUACCAAGGCAACGAUGCAUAGCCGACCUGAGAGGGUGAUCGGCCACACUGGAACUGAGACACGGUCCAGACUCCUACGGGAGGCAGCAGUAGGGAAUCUUCCGCAAUGGGCGAAAGCCUGACGGAGCAACGCCGCGUGAGUGAUGAAGGUCUUCGGAUUGUAAAACUCUGUUAUUAGGGAAGAACAUAUGUGUAAGUAACUGUGCACAUCUUGACGGUACCUAAUCAGAAAGCCACGGCUAACUACGUG